Long non-coding RNA from Medicago truncatula (barrel medic), 497 nucleotides. RefSeq lists it as uncharacterized. The transcript has 2 exons. The record is from RefSeq and is a predicted model, not a curated record. Lineage: Eukaryota; Viridiplantae; Streptophyta; Magnoliopsida; Fabales; Fabaceae.
GAUUUUUUCUACCUUAUAAAUAUCUUAAACAAGCUUUUUGAUUCCAUUACAUUCAAAGGAUGUAAAAUAUGGAUGGAAUUUUGAAGUUUGUUUACGCUGUGAUACUUUUUCUUUCACUAUUUCUUGUUGUAACGAACGUGGAAUCCGCUGAUUGCGAUUCUGACUAUAAUUGCAAAGAACAGUUGAGGGCGAGUUGAGUUGUAUCUUCGGAAGGGUGAGAUGUUUUGAGGGUUCGUGUUAUUGCCCUCAGUUUUGUAGGAUGUGCAAAAAGUACAACUAGUGUACACAUGCAACAGAGUAAAAUUUAGAUCUAUUUUACGUUUAAAUUAUAAAUGUUAUGUUUAGAUAUUAAAAAUGUAUCUUUGUAUUAAUUUUUGAUGUCUGAAAAAUUCUUCACAAAGUUGUGAAGACUCUACGUGUAUCCACACCGAUAACAAUUAUUACUCUCAACUUCUGAGUAGUAGAAGAAGAAAACUAGAGCAUAUUUGUGUUUUGUA